RNAcentral lists this ribosomal RNA (348 nucleotides) under uncultured bacterium. RNAcentral describes it as "bacterial SSU rRNA". It matches the Rfam family "Bacterial small subunit ribosomal RNA", at positions 8 to 350 of the family's 1533-position model. The record is from RNAcentral.
AGAGUUUGAUCAUGGCUCAGGAUGAACGCUAGCUACAGGCUUAACACAUGCAAGUCGAGGGGAAACGACAUCGAAAGCUUGCUUUUGAUGGGCGUCGACCGGCGCACGGGUGAGUAACGCGUAUCCAACCUGCCCACCACUUGGGGAUAACCUUGCGAAAGUAAGACUAAUACCCAAUGACGUCUCUAGAAGACAUCUGAAGGAGAUUAAGAUUUAUCGGUGAUGGAUGGGGAUGCGUCUGAUUAGCUUGUUGGCGGGGUAACGCCCACCAAGGCGACGAUCAGUAGGGGUUCUGAGAGGAAGGUCCCCCANAUUGGAACUGAGACACGGUCCAACUCUACGGGAGCA